This is a long non-coding RNA of Homo sapiens (human), 949 nucleotides long. Ensembl annotates it as testis expressed 56, pseudogene. Its record names the gene TEX56P. NCBI's taxonomy places the organism in Eukaryota, Metazoa, Chordata, Mammalia, Primates, Hominidae. The record is from Ensembl.
AGCUGGUUCCACUUCAUCUUGGAGAUGGAGGAAAGCUUGCCAGAACAACUGCACACCCCAUCCACUCCUCAUGUUCUCAGUUUGUUCUUCUCUGUGAUACAACCAGCAUCACGAGAACAGCCAGCAGCAGCUCCAGCGUGAUAAAAUUUUCACUCCUUGACAAGUGUAAGAAGCCGGAAAACUGUGCCCAGCCAGAAGUUUUGUGUCGCCCCUUUGAGAUGCUGUCUAACCUCCACGAGCUGCUUCCGAAUCACCUGAUGGAGACGCUUUAUUCCCGCAAGAGUGAAGAGGACAAGAAAAAAUGUGAGAAUCCUGAACUCUCUGGCUUAGAAAGAAUCUUAGCAAGACAUCAGUUGCCAAAAGAGAUUAAUCUGACCCCAAAGCCGAACAGAAUGCCCCCGUGGAAAAGAAAAAUCAUCAACAAUGUAACUGACGGGUGGAAGAAAUGUCACUUGUUGAAGAGAAACACGAAAGAGCCUCCAAUGUCCACCAUAGUUGUCAGAAAACUUAUUCAAAAAAAUGUACCCAGAAGACACAGCCUAAGGAAUACAAGCAGGAAACUGAGAAACCUGCCAACAACAGCUAAAGGGACACAAACAGUCAAAUCUCAUGAGACCAGCAGGAUGAACAGGUAACAGAGGUCAAAGAGAAAGAAUGAAUGCCCACCUAUGGAUGGAGGCAGUUUAGAGAAAUAUGCUUGUCCAAAGUCACAAUUAACUGCACUGACACAGAGAAGCAGAUAUUGCACUUUUGCUCAACUAAAUACCACUUUGAUGACUAAGAACGGGCCCUCUGGGAUCAGACAAAGGAAAAUCACAGUGCCUUCUGGGUAUAUCAGAACCUACCUGAAAUUCACAAACUCUAAACAAUGAAUGCUCAACUCUGUUGUAUGAAGUAGCCACAAUUACCAACCUUCCUGCACAAAUCAAACAAGAGAUAUCUUAAAAUA